AGGCCCAGUGUGCGCCUUGCAGACGGGCGGUGUCAGUCCUCUAAGGAGCUCACUCCCCAAGGUGCGAAACCAAGCUACUGGCCACUUCCGCGCCCUUCACCCAGU
Ceratotherium simum simum (southern white rhinoceros) is the source of this 105-nucleotide non-coding RNA. NCBI's taxonomy places the organism in Eukaryota, Metazoa, Chordata, Mammalia, Perissodactyla, Rhinocerotidae. The record is from RefSeq and is a predicted model, not a curated record.